CCUACGGGAUGCAGCAGUGGGGGAUAUUGCACAAUGGGGGAAACCCUGAUGCAGCGACGCCGCGUGGGUGAAGAAGCGCCUCGGCGCGUAAAGCCCUGUCAGCAGGGAAGAAAAUGAAGGUACCUGAAGAAGAAGCCCCGGCUAACUAAGUGCCAGCAGCCGCGGUAAUACGUAGGGGGCAAGCGUUAUCCGGAUUUACGGGGUGUAAAGGGGGGGCAGACGGCGAUGCAAGCCAGGAGUGAAAGCCCGGGGCGCAACCCCGGGACUGCUCUUGGGACUGGGUGGCUAGAGUGGAGGAGGGGCAGGCGGAAUUCCUGGUGUAGCGGUGAAAUGCGUAGAUAUCAGGAGGAACACCGGUGGCGAAGGCGGACUGCUGGACUGCAACUGACGUUGAGGCCCGAAAGCGUGGGGAGCAAACAGGAUUAGAUACCCGGGUAGUC
This 440-nucleotide ribosomal RNA is filed under the name uncultured bacterium. RNAcentral's name for it is "partial 16S ribosomal RNA". It matches the Rfam family "Bacterial small subunit ribosomal RNA", at positions 338 to 795 of the family's 1533-position model. The record is from RNAcentral.